AACGAACGCUGGCGGCAGGCCUAACACAUGCAAGUCGAACGGACCCUUCGGGGUUAGUGGCAGACGGGUGAGUAACGCGUGGGAACCUACCUUUAGGUACGGAACAACACAGAGAAAUUUGUGCUAAUACCGUAUGUGCCCUUUGGGGGAAAGAUUUAUCGCCUAAGGAUGGGCCCGCGUUAGAUUAGCUAGUUGGUAAGGUAAUGGCUUACCAAGGCGACGAUCUAUAGCUGGUCUGAGAGGAUGAUCAGCCACACUGGGACUGAGACACGGCCCAGACUCCUACGGGAGGCAGCAGUGAGGAAUAUUGGACAAUGGGCGCAAGCCUGAUCCAGCCAUGCCGCGUGAGUGAUGAAGGCCCUAGGGUCGUAAGCUCUUUCGCCUGUGAAGAUAAUGACGGUAGCAGGUAAAAAACCCGGCUAACUCCG
RNAcentral lists this ribosomal RNA (428 nucleotides) under uncultured bacterium. Its description in RNAcentral is "bacterial SSU rRNA". It matches the Rfam family "Bacterial small subunit ribosomal RNA", at positions 29 to 505 of the family's 1533-position model. The record is from RNAcentral.